GUGAAAGUCGUGAAGGAGAUAAAGCAAAAUGCCCCACCAAUUUUGACCACCUUCACGAGGAGAAUCAGAGAAGGCGUGAAUUCUGAGCAUCUUCACCGGGAGAUCCCUGGUCCCUUGCUCUCCAGAUGCGCUAUAAGAUACAUCCUGCAUCUAGCAUGUUGAAUGAUCUCCAAAAUCUCUGAUGCCUGAGCCAUGUCCUAUUGUCCAGAUUAAGACAUUUUUCCUUUAAAGCAGUACAGUAAAAAG
Long non-coding RNA from Lagenorhynchus albirostris (white-beaked dolphin), 246 nucleotides. RefSeq lists it as uncharacterized. The transcript has 3 exons. Lineage: Eukaryota; Metazoa; Chordata; Mammalia; Artiodactyla; Delphinidae. The record is from RefSeq and is a predicted model, not a curated record.